Molecule: ribosomal RNA, 520 nt
Filed under: uncultured bacterium
Lineage: Bacteria
Description: partial 16S ribosomal RNA
Rfam family: Bacterial small subunit ribosomal RNA
Source: RNAcentral
GACGAACGCUGGCGGCGUGCCUAAUACAUGCAAGUCGAACGCACUCUCGUUUAGAUUGAAGGAGUUUGCUCCUGAUUGAUAAACAUUUGAGUGAGUGGCGGACGGGUGAGUAACACGUGGGUAACCUGCCCUAAAGUGGGGGAUAACAUUUGGAAACAGAUGCUAAUACCGCAUAAAACCUAACACCGCAUGGUGUAGGGUUGAAAGAUGGUUUCGGCUAUCACUUUAGGAUGGACCCGCGGUGCAUUAGUUAGUUGGUGGGGUAAAGGCUCACCAAGACCGUGAUGCGUAGCCGACCUGAGAGGGUGAUCGGCCACACUGGGACUGAGACACGGCCCAGACUCCUGCGGGAGGCAGCAGUAGGGAAUCUUCCACAAUGGACGAAAGUCUGAUGGAGCAACGCCGCGUGAGUGAAGAAGGUUUUCGGAUCGUAAAACUCUGUUGUUGGAGAAGAAUGUAUCUGAUAGUAACUGAUCAGGUAGUGACGGUAUCCAACCAGAAAGCCACGGCUAACUACGUG